RNAcentral lists this ribosomal RNA (428 nucleotides) under uncultured bacterium. RNAcentral's name for it is "bacterial SSU rRNA". It matches the Rfam family "Bacterial small subunit ribosomal RNA", at positions 506 to 930 of the family's 1533-position model. The record is from RNAcentral.
GGCCAGCAGCCGCGGUCAUACGUAGGGUGCAAGCAUUAUCCGGAGUGACUGGGCGUAAAGAGUUGCGUAGGUGGCGUAUUAAGCGAAUGGUGAAAUCUGGUGGCUCAACCACACAGACUAUUAUUCGAACUGGUACGCUCGAGAGUAGCAGAGGUAACUGGAAUUUCUAGUGUAGGAGUGAAAUCCGUAGAUAUUAGAAGGAACACCAAUGGCGUAGGCAGGUUACUGGGCUAUUUCUGACACUAAGGCACGAAAGCGUGGGGAGCGAACCGGAUUAGAUACCCGGGUAGUCCACGCCGUAAACUAUGGAUACUAGCUGUUGGAGGUAUCGACCCCUUCAGUAGCGAAGCUAACGCGUUAAGUAUCCCGCCUGUGGAGUACGGUCGCAAGACUAAAACAUAAAGGAAUUGACGGGGGCCCGCACAAGG